ACCAACUCGUAAUUUGCAUCUUGCUACGGUUUUAUCGUACAAAAGAAUAAAAAAAAAAAAAAAUAAAAGAAGGAAUGAAUGAAUAAAAGAAAUCAUUCGACUACGAUCCCGUAACCUUUCUGUUUGUAAAUCCGAUUUACCCAAAGUGUAUGUGUGUGUGUGUGUGUGUACGUGUGUAAUGUCUACAAGAGAUAAGAAGAUCAGAUAAGUAUCGCCUUGCACGUUUGAAAACAACAAGAACAACCAACCAACAACCAUGGAAUUUGAGAUUAACCUACGUCAAAAAUACAAAAGGAAUAAUUUAAAACUGCUAAACGAGCUACACUUGCCAAGGAAGAAACCGAGAAAUCCACUGCAAUGCGCCCACGCGUCGGCUAAAACUCUUGGCGCGACCUCACGAUUUAAUUAGCUCCCAGAUACCUUCCCCUUUUCAUCCCCUACACCCCUUAUUCUCUAAAUUCUACCUUCAUACUUUCCUUUCCAUCUUCCUCUUACCGCCCAAACUCAAAUCUCCGUUUACAAACUGCCAUAUUAUUCUUAUUUUUCUUUCUCUAUCUCUCCUUUCUUCUUUUUCUA
Molecule: long non-coding RNA, 576 nt
Organism: Polistes dominula (European paper wasp)
Lineage: Eukaryota; Metazoa; Arthropoda; Insecta; Hymenoptera; Vespidae
Source: RefSeq, a predicted model, not a curated record